This 253-nucleotide ribosomal RNA is filed under the name uncultured bacterium. RNAcentral's name for it is "partial 16S ribosomal RNA". It matches the Rfam family "Bacterial small subunit ribosomal RNA", at positions 524 to 776 of the family's 1533-position model. The record is from RNAcentral.
UACGUAGGGUGCAAGCGUUAAUCGGAAUUACUGGGCGUAAAGCGUGCGCAGUCGGUUUUGUAAGUCUGAUGUGAAAUCCCCGGGCUCAACCUGGGAAUUGCAUUGGAGACUGCAAGGCUAGAAUCUGGCAGAGGGGGGUAGAAUUCCACGUGUAGCAGUGAAAUGCGUAGAGAUGUGGAGGAACACCGAUGGCGAAGGCAGCCCCCUGGGUCAAGAUUGACGCUCAUGCACGAAAGCGUGGGGAGCAAACAGG